CAAGUCUCCUUUGAGUGGAGCUCUGCCCUCCUGGCCCCAUCAGAGGAGGAUCCUGACCUCUGGCCACUGACUGUGUACAUGCUGCAGAAACAGCACAGAGUCUGAGAGCAUGUCUGGAGGUGCUGACUUUGGGGUAAAAAGUCUCAUUCAGACAGCUCCUUUGGCAGUAUGCAUGAAUAAGUGCAUCUUCACAACCAGAAGCCAGCAGCCUACCUGCAAUUUCUUGUGAUGACUGUAAACUCCCAAGUCCUUCCAGAUUCUCAGGGAUGGAACCACCUUCUUCAAGCACC
Molecule: long non-coding RNA, 290 nt
Organism: Neopsephotus bourkii (Bourke's parrot)
Lineage: Eukaryota; Metazoa; Chordata; Aves; Psittaciformes; Psittacidae
Exons: 3
Source: RefSeq, a predicted model, not a curated record